Tetranychus urticae (two-spotted spider mite) is the source of this 2901-nucleotide long non-coding RNA. RefSeq lists it as uncharacterized. Lineage: Eukaryota; Metazoa; Arthropoda; Arachnida; Trombidiformes; Tetranychidae. The record is from RefSeq and is a predicted model, not a curated record.
AGUAUUAAAACGAUACAUGAUGAUGUUGAUGAUGAGAAAUGAUUUAUCAAAUGAAAUGGAUUAUUUAUCAAAAAAUAUGUUUUUUACUCUUGCUUUUAUACUUUUUUUGUAUUUUGUUGCCAUUGAAAGGUCCAAAUGUAGGUUACUUUAAACAUUUUGUUUUACCUUUACUUUUAACCUUAACCAUUGUUAACAUAUAAUUCAAUAUCAUUUUGAUAAUGAUCAUAAUAAUGAUUUUUUUUCAUGUUUCACUCUCUCUCCCUGUAAGUCAUGGUUGUAACAUUAGUCUAUCUCUUGAAACUGAAUCUUGUCUUUUGUUUUUCUUUUCCUCAGGAAUAUAUUCAAACAUUUGCCUGGUUCAAUGAUUUUUUUGUUGCUUUAUUUUUAAACCUCGGAAAAACAGUUUUUUUUUCAUUUUCACCAAACGUCUAGUGGUUAACCAUUUGCAGUUAAUUUACAAUUAAUAUUGUCAUUUUGAUUCAGAGAUGAAUGAUUAAGUGGUUGGUAAACAUGGUUUGAAUUGUAAAUAUUUUAAUCUCAUUCUAACUGGGAAAAGGGUAUCUUUUUGUAUCUCCCUCGCUUCAUCUAUUGGUUUGCUUUGGUUGGUUACUGGUUGUUAACGAAUAGUUAUGCACGUUAACGGUUUUUUUUGUCUAAAUUUAAAUUUUAUUUUUCUUUUGUCUUUAGAUUUUUUUUUGUGUUUUAUCGUUUAAUGAUUAUUAUGUUAAUAUUUGUCUAACAGUUAAUUUAAAUUGCAAAUUAAUCAAUGUGAUCACUGGGAAAAAAUGAAGUAAAUACAGUUAAAAUGGUUAAAGACAAGGACAAGACUGUGAGGUGUUGAGUUGGUGGCAAAAACAAGGCGACAACCUGAUUGACAAAUGUGUCAACCUGUGAAAUGCACAUUACAAGAACUUUUACUUAUAUUUAUUGCUGUUAAUAGAUUACAUUCAAAGCAAAAAAGAACCUAUUUAAUGGAAAAUCUAAUCGGUUGAUGGUUAUGGUUCGUGGUAAUGAUGAAAAUGGUAUAAACAUGGUUUCACUUGGUAUAAACAGUCAAACUAGAGAGAAAUGAAAAGAUGAUGAUGUUCAACUGAUGUUCACAGCCAAAUAUCAACAUUAGUUACACACACAUACACUCAGAGCCACACAACUUUACCAAUAUUUACCUUUUUUGUUUCUCUAUGUUUGAGCAAACAUUGGCUUGCAGCUAUUGUAUUAUAAUGCAAAACCAAACAACAAUAAUAACAUCAACUGUAAAUAGAUUGAUUUUGGUGAAACAAUUUCAUUUCUUGGUUUCUCUCGUCUUUUUUCCAACCAAGCCAACAAUAUUUUUCUUAUUCUAGCAUGAAUACAUGACGAUUAUGGUGAUGGUGUAUGAAAGAGCUGUUGAUCCAAAGAGAGGGGAUGAAAGAAAAGACUGAAACAAGUCACACAAGAUAUGGAAAGUUAAUGGUUAUGGCAAUGUUGGUGAUACACAUCUUCCAUCAAAAGGAUGGUCAAGGAAUCAAAAGAAAUUCAACUUGCUUCUUCUCAUAUUUCCAAUUUUUUUUCUCCUUUUCUCUACUCAAUGGUAAUGCUGUUGAUGUUUUGGAUGGAAAAAACUUUCAACAAAAUCUCUUGUUGAUUUUGUUCUUGGCAGAUUCAUCAUCUCUCUUUUGUCUUGCUAUGAUCAUCAUCUUGAAUCGUCUUCAAUAUAAACCCUUCGUUGUUGCUAUAAAUGUAAACUGUUGUGAGUCUGUGAGGAGCUUAGAGGAUGGCAAGCAACAAAAAAGUUGAUUCGGUCAAUGUGAAGGAAAAAAAAGGAUGCAAAAUUUAUUUUGAUUACCCUGUAAUUCUGAGAAAGAUGAAAAUUGAGAAUCAUCAGGUUUGCAUCGAGUUACACCAAGAUGCAUCUACAAUCAACCAAAUUAUAUAUUGUUUUUUCCCUACAUUCCGUGUUAUUAAGCUGGAAAAUGGCAAAGAAAACCUUUUAACAGGUUACGAUGAACAUGAUUUGGUCUUCUUUUCAUUAUUAUUUUUUUUCAUCACUCCUUUCCACUUGAAGAUGAUAAUGAUGAGUUGACCGUUUUAUUUUUGACUCUCAAAUGCAGUUAAACUCCCUCACAUGGCAUCCUUCAAGUUCACACUCAACUCUUUUCAUUAUGGCUUGAAUCAAUGUCUGCUUAUUGACAUGAAACUUACCAUGAUAUACAAAGCGGAAAUAUCAUAUCUUAUUAGCUUUGUUUUUUUCUUCACUCAAUCUUCUUCUUCUUCUUCAUGUUGGGCCAGAAAAGUAAUAUAAUUAUGAUGUGAUAAUAAUAAUAAUGAUGAAUUGGUAAAGUAUCAAUCAUUUGAUAAAGAUGAAUGUAGAUUAGUUAGUUAGAUGAAAUAAAGGUAAUUGAUUGUUUAACAGAGGAGGAUCUUUGUUGACACUGUUGGAACCAAUCAAGUUUGGUGACCUCCGAUCUUAUAAUACCCAUUAUCACUAUUAUUACUAUUGCUUUUAUCAUUAUCAUUAUUUUUCACAUUUUCAUUCUCAUGUAUCUUCCUUGCCACCCUAACACAGCAUGGGCAUUAACUUCUUUGCCGGAAGUAAUUCGUCAGUUAUCAAAAAAAGGAGAGAAGAGGAAAAAAAAUUAUCAAUCUAAAAGAGUAAGAAAAAAUGUCAUCUACAGACUCAAUUACGAUUAAUAUUUCCAAUGAAAUGAGUAACCUUAUUAAGAUUUUCCAUAUUCAUGAUUGGAAUACUUUGAGUUGAACUCACAGUUUUAAUCAGAUGAUUGGUUGGACAAAGAGAGACACAGUUUCAUUUGAACGUGUCAACAAUUUGCCUACAUUUGAAGUUUCAUUAAAGUAACUGACAAGCUACAUAAUAGACAAACAACAAAAAUAGAUUUCGAUAAUAAAGUCUCAGCUUUUUAA